Molecule: long non-coding RNA, 1076 nt
Filed under: Anas platyrhynchos platyrhynchos (common mallard)
Lineage: Eukaryota; Metazoa; Chordata; Aves; Anseriformes; Anatidae
Description: lncRNA (ENSAPLG00000024598.1)
Source: RNAcentral
GACUGGAGGUAGAUUUGGAUACUGGCAUCCUGUCUGGAAGCUUGUGCUGUCAACUGGCUAACUGGCUAACUGAAUUCAGAGUAGAAUAGUCAGUCACCAGUGGGUUAAGUACCAAAAGAAGCUGCCUAUGGGUUCACACAGCUUGUGGGUAAGUGAUAAGAAAAGCAUGUUGUGGCUACAUAGAGAAAUAAAUACUCAGAGGUGUGCAGUGAAAUGCUGGAAACCUCCCUUAUGUUUGGCAAGCACAACUUCUAUUCAGCAGUGUUCAUGUACACAGACAUGCCAACGCCCAGUGAAUAUCUCAAAUCCACACCAAGUUUUCACAGAUGUCAUGUUUUCAUUCAGGUAAAAACUCUUGUUGACCAAAGAGACUUGGUUAUUCAGUUCUCUACAGAGAUUAACAUACAGUCAUUGAAUGUAUUUCCAAUUUCAAUUCCUUUUUUGAGAGAGGGAUAGAAAAAGCAGCAAAGCAAGAAAGAAAAUUCACAACUCUCUGUGAAGAGCACAGGUGUAUUUUCAUCAUACAAAGAUGAGCAGUCAUCGAACACCAAUAAGCACUUUCACUGGACUCUCGAAAAGCCACCACAGAAGGGUAGCAUGGGGGAGAGAAUGGUACUUGGAAGGAAGGACGAUGACGGGAGAGCAGAAAGAGGAGGUGAGGAGGCAGCAGGAAGAGUGGAGUUGGGGAAGAGAGGUAGAAAAGCUGUCUGAAGUAUUUCACAGUGUCCUGCUUGACCUUCAAACAGAUCGGAGACCAUCACGUAAUAGAAAGAAGUGGAGAUCCUACUUGUACCCAGAAAUAGCCUAUCCUAUCACAGAGAAAACUGGACACUGGGUUGUGUCCAGACGCAUAGUGUGUCCCUGACAUUUGUGCUUGAAUGCGUGUCGCCACCAAUGUGCUUGGUUGCAUGUGAAAUUUAGCUAGAAGACACCUACUGCAAGAUGAGCUCCUAGAUUCAGUUUUUGGUAGUACUGCAUCACUUCACUGCAUCAGGAAUAGCUUAAGAGGGAUUCCUUUCAUUGUUAUUGUACUUUGCCUGAGGACAGAAAAGUAUUACCUUUCUUCUCCUCCUCCC